RNAcentral lists this long non-coding RNA (965 nucleotides) under Heterocephalus glaber (naked mole-rat). RNAcentral's name for it is "lncRNA (ENSHGLG00100036152.1)". The record is from RNAcentral. Lineage: Eukaryota; Metazoa; Chordata; Mammalia; Rodentia; Bathyergidae.
CGUUGACCCUUGGCCGAGGGGACCCGGGACGCCCCCGCCCCCGCCCGGCGGCCAAGGCCACGGCGCUCCCCGCCCGGACUGCCUACCGCGCUGCUCCGCGCUGCCUCCCGAGGCGGGCGAGGCCCGACAGUCCGCUGGGCCGGCCGCCGGCUGGCGGAACGGGAUGCAAGAGGAAGCUGAAGGCAGGGGGACUGAGGAGAAGGGGCACGGGAGCUCUCCGGGUUUGUGUAUUUGGGGGGGGGGGGUCAGAGUUCGUGACCCUUCCCGGGAGCAGGCGGCGCGCGUUGCAGUCUGCGCUCGCGCACGAGCGACGUGGAGAGGCGGCGAGAGGUCGUGACGUUCCGGAGUGGGGGCGGAGCGACCCGAGAGUGAGCCGCGCUUCUGAAAAUCGGCUGACCCCUGUCGGCCUGGAGGGAGGCUGCUCGCCAGUGCCGCUUAUCCAUCGCUGCUUUUGGGAGUCACUCGCGUUUAGGCAUCUUGUUACCCAAAGUGCUGCAAUCAAACCAGGAGCCUCAAACACCCGAGGCAAGCACUCUGCCACUGAAUUACAGCGCAGAAGAAAAGUGGCUACAGUCCUUGAAGAGAUAACGGGGACUUCAGCCAAGUUUCCUGUACAAGUGGCUCACAGGUUAAACAACAGGUGCACCAGAGUCAUGUACAGGAGUCUUUCCUCACCAGGCCCACUGACACUGACUGGGAAACGAAGGACUUCGUUGUAAAUACCAAGGAAGUCAUGUCACAAAGAGUGAUGCCAGUUGGUUUGUAAAAGCACAGCACUUUAGGAAACAGCGUUCUCUUUAGAUACACGGUGAAUGCCACUGCAGCGUGUGCAGUGCCAGUGCAGAUAAAGGUCCAGAACACUUGCUACAGCGCUGGCCUGCAGCUCAGAGGGAGAGGAAAGCCAGCCUGCUGUCUGUGAGGCGCAAGCCCAGUGCUACAAAGAAAACCAUAAAUGAAUAAACGUG